CGAUACAUCGAUACAUGUUGCUGGCACGCUAGCAAAACAAAGUUGGCAAAAAAAAUAAAAAGUAACCAAUUAAAAUUACAUUUUAAAUAAGAAAUAAUUAUGUGCAACGGUGGCUCGCCCAGCAGCAACGGCUCUCAAGCCGAAGAGAACAACGAACACGAACAAGAACAGGCAGCUACGGAUCAAGAGGAACAGGCGUUGAGAACAGCCAUUGGGUCGUUCACUGCAGAAGAGAUUCUUGCUGAAUAUGGUAAAAAUUUAAAGUUGCUUACUUUAAAUUCUCAAGUGGCCGAGCUCUUGACCAUCAUUCGCGACAAAAACACCUCACGGAGUGAUUUUAAAUUUUAUGCUGACCGGCUAAUACGGCUCGUUAUCGAGGAAUCUCUAAACCAGUUGCCCUACUCCGAUUGCGCCGUGGAAACUCCAACGGGGGCCAUUUAUCAGGGCCUAAAAUAUCGUUCUGGCAACUGCGGCGUCUCCAUCAUACGAUCCGGAGAGGCCAUGGAGCAGGGCUUGCGGGAUUGCUGUCGUUCUAUACGCAUUGGAAAGAUUUUGGUCGAAUCGGAUGCCAAUACACACGAGGCUCGAGUGGUAUAUGCACGUUUUCCCGAUGACAUUGGUAGCCGCCAGGUGCUGCUCAUGUAUCCCAUCAUGUCCACAGGGAAUACUGUGUUAAAGGCAGUGAAUGUUUUGCGAGAGCAUGGAGUGCCUGAGGAGUGCAUCAUAUUGUCGAAUCUUUUCUGCACGCCUGUCGCCGCUCGUACCGUAGUCACUGCGUUUCCCAGAAUGCAGAUUCUCACCUCCGAGCUGCAUCCGGUGGCACCCAAUCAUUUUGGCCAGAAAUACUUUGGUACUGACUAGAUAGGUAGUCACAAAAAUGAAUAAGAAGCAGAAGCAUAACAUCAGCUCCUAAAAGACUUGACAACUAAGCUCGGCUUAGGAUAGAUGACUUUUAAAUCGGAGGUGGAGGUCAACUACUAUGCAAUUAUUUGGCUUUUUAUGUAAUAUGCAAAAAUACGCGACUCGUUUAUCUUAUGUAAAUAGAAACAGAAUAAAUAUUAUAUAUAUCACUUAA
This is an RNA transcript of Drosophila montana, 1075 nucleotides long. It is a transcript of the gene named krishah, with no coding region annotated. The record is from RefSeq and is a predicted model, not a curated record. The transcript is spliced from 3 exons. NCBI's taxonomy places the organism in Eukaryota, Metazoa, Arthropoda, Insecta, Diptera, Drosophilidae.